RNAcentral lists this ribosomal RNA (301 nucleotides) under uncultured bacterium. RNAcentral describes it as "partial 16S ribosomal RNA". It matches the Rfam family "Bacterial small subunit ribosomal RNA", at positions 509 to 807 of the family's 1533-position model. The record is from RNAcentral.
CAGUAGCCGCGGUAAUACGAGGGGGGCAAGCGUUGUUCGGAAUUAUUGGGCGUAAAGGGUGCGUAGGCGGUUUCGUAAGUCUGAUGUGAAAUCUAUGGGCUCAACCCAUAGUCUGCAUCGGAAACUGCGAGGCUUGAGAAUGGGAGAGGUGAGUGGAAUUUCCGGUGUAGCGGUGAAAUGCGUAGAUAUCGGAAGGAACACCUGUGGCGAAAGCGGCUCACUGGACUAUUUCUGACGCUGAUGCACGAAAGCUAGGGGAGCAAACAGGAUUAGAUACCCGAGUAGUCCCUGUCUCUUAUAC